AUUGAACGCUGGCGGCAGGCCUAACACAUGCAAGUCGAACGGUAACAGGGAUCAGCUUGCUGAUUCGCUGACGAGUGGCGGACGGGUGAGUAAUGUCUGGGAAACUGCCUGAUGGAGGGGGAUAACUACUGGAAACGGUAGCUAAUACCGCAUAACGUCGCAAGAGCAAAGAGGGGGACCUUCGGGCCUCUUGCCAUCGGAUGUGCCCAGAUGGGAUUAGCUAGUAGGUGGGGUAACGGCUCACCUAGGCGACGAUCCCUAGCUGGUCUGAGAGGAUGACCAGCCACACUGGAACUGAGACACGGUCCAGACUCCUACGGGAGGCAGCAGUGGGGAAUAUUGCACAAUGGGCGCAAGCCUGAUGCAGCCAUGCCGCGUGUAUGAAGAAGGCCUUCGGGUUGUAAAGUACUUUCAGCGGGGAGGAAGGGAGUAAAGUUAAUACCUUUGCUCAUUGACGUUACCCGCAGAAGAAGCACCGGCUAACUCCGUG
This 490-nucleotide ribosomal RNA is filed under the name uncultured bacterium. RNAcentral's name for it is "partial 16S ribosomal RNA". It matches the Rfam family "Bacterial small subunit ribosomal RNA", at positions 30 to 507 of the family's 1533-position model. The record is from RNAcentral.